CCCCCCCACUGGGCACCCCAAGGUCGACUUGUCCGGCGGUGCGGAUAUUUGACCAAUCGAUAACAUGACUGAUCAAUCGAUAACAUGACUGAUAUCCUAAUCGUCAUGUUAAGCGUAGUUUUUUCGUUUGACUCUGAACGUCAGUGGCAACAUCAGUAUACCACACAACGGCAUGUCUGCUCUUCCCUUUCGUUAGAAUCAAGAUUUCGUUUGCUUCUGUCCUCGUUUUUUUUUUCUGUUGUACUUCCUCCUUUUCACAAAGAACGACGCCCAUGUUUUACAAGGUCGUCGAUCGACUUGUUUUUGGUUUGCGUUCUCUAUCUCUUUGAGAGUCUGAUUUUGUGGCAUCUAUUUCCGGUUGUCGUGUUUGCCUCCGCAUGUUGGUUACAGGAUUGGACCUGGUAGAUUUGGAAUUGAAGCUCCGCUCCCAGUGUCAUCGUCUCGUGGUGAGGGGAAUUCGAAGCAGGCCAACCACAGGCUUUUGUAUUUGUUUCGCUCCUUUAGAGCUGGAUGGAGUCACAGAUGAACGAAGUUCUGCAGAGAUGAGCCGAAUGGUGGAGGUUUUCGUUCGUAGUUAUUUUGAUUCGUUGGGUUCGACGAUUAUUUUGAUCAGAGCGUCUGAAAUGAAGUUCUGGUGUUAUAUUGAAGCUGGAUCGGAUCGAUUUUCGACCUACGAAUGGGGAAUUAUAGAGCUUAGCGGGAGAACCUAUUUUGCUUCAGUCGGAUACUCGGUUCCCUUUCCAACCUGCAACUUGUUUGUGUUUGAUCAGAGCGUCUGAAAUGAAGUUCUGGUGUUAUAUUGAAGCUAGAUCGGAUUGAUUUUUGACCUACAACUUGAUCUGUGUUCGGAUAAUCAAUCUCAAUCCCCCUCGGUUUACUUCCUUCAUAACAUAAUUUUGUGUCCGGCGAUUUCUGAUUUCAAUUUGUUGGUUGGUGGUUGUACAGAAUGGGAAAUUGUAGAGCUUAGCGGGAGAUCCUAUUUUGCUUCAGUCGGGUACUCGGUUCCCUUUCCAACCUGCAACUUACUUGUGUUUGGAUAGUCAAUGUCAAUCUCACUCGAUUUACUUUCUU
This is a long non-coding RNA of Brachypodium distachyon (stiff brome), 1071 nucleotides long. RefSeq lists it as uncharacterized. The record is from RefSeq and is a predicted model, not a curated record. The transcript is spliced from 2 exons. Lineage: Eukaryota; Viridiplantae; Streptophyta; Magnoliopsida; Poales; Poaceae.